CAUGAUUAGCCUAGCUAGGAUUGUUUAGAGGGUAGCCGCAGUCGCCCCAACUCCAACUUACAAAAUAAUUUUGUUUUGUAAGUAGGGUGAGAAACAACUUUUGUUGGAAACUUUAAUCUUUUUAAGAGAUUAGAGAACUGU
RNAcentral lists this non-coding RNA (141 nucleotides) under unclassified sequences. RNAcentral describes it as "IS605-orfB-II RNA". It matches the Rfam family "IS605-orfB-II RNA". The record is from Rfam by way of RNAcentral.